Molecule: ribosomal RNA, 92 nt
Filed under: Jaculus jaculus (lesser Egyptian jerboa)
Lineage: Eukaryota; Metazoa; Chordata; Mammalia; Rodentia; Dipodidae
Source: RNAcentral
UUCUGCAGCCUUACCACCCUGAAUGCACCUGAUCCCAUCUGAUCUUGGAAGCUAAGCAAGUUUGGGCCUGGUUAGUUCUUAGAUGGGAGGAA